Molecule: transfer RNA, 68 nt
Filed under: Synapturanus sp. AF238
Lineage: Eukaryota; Metazoa; Chordata; Amphibia; Anura; Microhylidae
Description: tRNA-Thr
Rfam family: tRNA
About the family: Transfer RNA (tRNA) molecules are approximately 80 nucleotides in length. Their secondary structure includes four short double-helical elements and three loops (D, anti-codon, and T loops).
Source: RNAcentral
GUCCUGAUAGCUUAUUAAGCAUUGGCCUUGUAAGCCAAAGAAUGUGGCUCGCCCGCCACUCCGGACCC